This 37-nucleotide small RNA is filed under the name Romboutsia ilealis. RNAcentral's name for it is "CRISPR spacer". The record is from RNAcentral. Lineage: Bacteria; Bacillati; Bacillota; Clostridia; Peptostreptococcales; Peptostreptococcaceae.
AGAAUAGCAGGAUUAAUAGCAGGUACAUCUUUAAAAA